CUACUUUCAGGCCGACGUCGGAUGAAUCUAUUGAGCCGACCUCAUCUGAUGAGCUCCUCGAUCUCAUCUCGGAGCUGAAUGCACUCCUCUGUGUCGUGGCCGUGGUCACGAUGAUAGAGACAAAACUUGUUAGGGUUGUACUUUUUGGAGUGUGUGUGCAUCCUUUCCGGCCUUGGCAUCUGCUCCCUGAUCUCCAUCAGCACUUGAGUUUUUGGAGCAUUGAGAGGGGCGUAGCUGUGGAAUCUUCUUGGGGGAGAGCUCUGUCGAACUCUACG
This 275-nucleotide long non-coding RNA is filed under the name Elaeis guineensis (African oil palm). RNAcentral's name for it is "long non-coding RNA (EGUI_LNC082582)". The record is from RNAcentral. Lineage: Eukaryota; Viridiplantae; Streptophyta; Magnoliopsida; Arecales; Arecaceae.